Molecule: non-coding RNA, 6507 nt
Organism: Zonotrichia albicollis (white-throated sparrow)
Lineage: Eukaryota; Metazoa; Chordata; Aves; Passeriformes; Passerellidae
Source: RefSeq, a predicted model, not a curated record
AGGCAAAAAGCUCUCUCGGAGGAACUUCACUGAGCGAGGUUCAACUCGGGCAGCGCUCCCGCCUCGGCUGCGCGCGGUACGCUCGGAGAGAAGGCGAACUUUCAUUUUCACGCCGCAUCCUCCCCUCCGCCCCAAGCUGUGACUGAUCGUAACAUACCUGAUGGCCGGCCACCGCUACAGUGCAAAACACCAAGCUUUUGGGCUCAAAAAGCCUAGACCAUCAUGGCUACGAAAACUACUGCUGCUCAGAGACCAUGUAAUUCUGAAGUUCCUUAAGGAAAAAAGCAGUGCAACAUCAGAACAGUGGCCAAGUGGUCUUCUCCACAGCAGCCAUGAUCUUCAAUCUUGAACCCAAGAAGACUCAUCAAAUGCCUAAGGAAAGACAGUAUGGAGUUGGAAGAGAAGCAUGGAUCUCCAUGAGGGGCAGUCAGUUAUAGUCAUGGUCAGCAUGCUUGGUUGGUCUGCCACUUGACACGUGUAGCUCAGAGCUGGCCACAAUGUGAGCUGCUUCCUGUUCUCCUAAACAUCAGAAGCUGAAAUUUAGAGAAAUCUGUUUAGAAGAGACUGGGAAAACAGCCAGGCUAGCUCAGUACAAGUGUGUUGGUGGCACCUGUAAGCAUGCAGGUGUGUGGAAGAACAGGUCCUGUUCUCGCUGUUGUUACUCCCACAUAGGCAGACUCUGUAAUUGAUUAUGUGUGGGUAGGGCCCUAUUGAAAUUCAGGAGAUUCUGCAGUAGUGCGGGGUUCUUUUUGUGACAGUUCAGUUGCAAGAUCAGGACCCUACUGUGACUCCUUACUGUGCAUUCUGUCACUGUCUCAUUGGUUGUACUGGAACCUGCCUGUUGGGAUAAUUACCAAAUACUAUAUUCCUCAAAACUUCUUAAUGGCACUGAGGCUUUGUGGAUAGUUGGUCACAUGAUGAGAAAAUUCAGCUGUAAGUACAUUAAAAUGAUUGACUUUUUCAAUAGUUUGUCUUUACUGAUGUUGGCAAACUAAUAGUGAUAAAAAUGUGAAUCAAGAGGUUUGACUUAUGUCAAAUUACUUCAGUUCUUUUUAGAAAAUAUAUAGAGUAUGCCCAUUAAGGAUCUUAUUAUUCUUAGGUAAUUCACCAUGGGACCCUGAAGUUCUUCCCUACUGCAAUUAGAUUCUGCAGAUCACAUGGCUGGCAGACACAGAAAUAAUUUCACAAAUGAAAAUGGAAGAAGCAAAAUCCAUGAAGAUUGUGUUGAAGAAUAAUACUGAAUAAAAGCAAGUCCUAAGACCACUGUCUAUGAAUUGGAUCAUUUGUUUGAAAAGACAGUUGAAGAAACAGUGAACAAUAAUGGUAAUUGAGAAUGUAGAAAAGUGUCUGAAAAUAUGAAGAGUUCCAGAUUCUAUACCGUUGUUCUGCUCACUGGAGGUAGCCGAAGGUAGCCAAGAUCCUUUCCUACUCGCAGGCUGAGAAUUUGCCUGCUUUGGGAAGUCACAGUCACCCUAACGCUGGUCUGGCCUUCACCAACAGCUCAGUCCUCUGUGCAGGUUUGAGACUGGCAUCAUAUGAAGAUCAUCAGUAAGGAUAAAGCAUGCUACGUGUUCAUGCAAGCAGUGCUAUUAUUCUGCUUGGUUUUCUGGUCAAGAAGCUAAUUUCAGCAUUGCCAGUGCCCUUUUUUCUUGAAUUCUAGUUCUCUCUAGCACAUGCUCUUCAGGUCUACUUUGCUGAGCUAUUGUGAUAGUUUGAUUUUUAUGAUUUGCAUCAAGUGUGAAGCUUUCAAAGCCAUGUGUCAAAGACACUCGAGCCCGUGAAAGCAGUGGGCGUGCAGGCAGCUGCGGCAGCCCGGAGAUCUCCCUUUUCUCCCGGUCUCCUCUGAACAUCGCCGUUAACGCGCUGGCAGUGCUGGCGAUCCGGCCCCAGCUGCUGCUGCUACUGCUGGUCAUGUGAGUGGCUCAGCAAUGUGUGACACUACAAAAACUGUUGUGUUUUCCUUCUCGACAGAUCGCAGACUACUCAUUUUCUCUGGGGUUCAUGGAGGUGACAAGGAUGGACUCCCAAGGCAUGUCUGCAAUGGUUGUUUGAAACAAGAAACAGAUACCCUCUUGCUGUCAUUCAUCUCUGAUCACUGGGAAUCUGAGCUUGAAGGAAGGUGAAAGAAAACUCCUACCGAAAACUGGGAAUCAUUUGUCUCCUGUAUAUUUGUGGUCACCUGAUGGUAAUGGAUGCAAAGACCCUGUGCAGCAGCAGUGCCUCUCACAGGGAAUACCAGGAGGGAAACUGGAAGUAAUCAAAGCACACAGAAUUUGCUCUUCUUGGUGGAGGUCUCAUGUAGGCAGCACUUAAAUGACACUUUAUGUUUCUGGAUAAGGUGAAGAGGGAGCCUUAUGUGAGCAGGGUUUGCUGCUCUUACUUUCCCAAAGGCACCCAGGUGGAAAUGCCCACUUUGGCCUAAGCUGCCCUUUGCAGACAGAUGCACAGACAAAUGCUGGCCAAAGGUCUCAGUGCAGGUAAGUCACCCUAACCCUGCUCCUUCUCUUGCAGUGCAAUCCCACAUCUUUGGACAUCGACUUUUUCCCAUUCCUACCUACCACUGCUUCAGGACCAUGUUUCUUGGGGAAUGGGGAAAUCCAGGUCCUGCUGAGGUAUGAAGAAAAAAGGGAUUUUGAUUUAUAUGGUACAGGGUAUGGGCUUCUCUCUCUCUGAUGCUGGGCCUUCAUUUCAGGUUACCAGAGCAAAGACAUGAUUGCUGCAGAUCCUGGUGGAGUCCCAGGACUGCGCUGACAGCUUUUCCAGAAAAGUUUUGUUGCUUUUUCUUGUAGUCCUAGAAGCUGACCACACAGUAACCCUGGCUGUGAAUAUUUUUUUUGAAAAAUAAAUGGGCUCCAGCAGGGUAAAUAAAAGCUUGAAAAGUCAAUGAUCCUCUUUCCACCCCACCUAGGUUUGUAGAAAGCACCAAAAAAGAACACAAUUACAGUUAAUUCUUGAGAUUUCUUUAGGAAGUAGAUUUCAGGAGUCUGACAAACACCAAUCUGCAUCUGGAUGCAGUGGACUUACUGGCUUUCCUCCUUAACUUUUAAAUCUUAUUGAACUGGGAAGGUUGCCUGCCAGGUGUGGGUGGCAAAGCUCUGAAAUAUUGAUUUUCAGUCUGUUGGUAUUAAAAGCAAAACACUUCUUUCAUGUCCCCAGACACUUUAUCAGAACCCACAGUGGCUUGCAGGGUAUUUCUGUGCAUCGUGGCAGUGAAGACAAUAGAACAUCCUGUGAAGUAACAGACUUAGCAAAACACCAAAGAGAAAAUUGUGAAAAACACACUUCUCUGUUCCUUUUUUUUAACAAAGACUUUUGGUUAGAAACACAAAUAUACUGCAUCUGAAAUGGCUUUCUGAAAUGGCUUUCUCUUGUGAUUUGGCUUCUUUUUAAUCAUCAAACCAUUUAAAGUUCCACUCCCCUCCCUCAAACCCUGUUGAAGCUUGAUGUGGGAGAACACAGGCUUUUUUCCCUACUGCUUUCAGUCACUGUCUGACAUAUUCUGAAUGUGCCUUGAUGUGUCUGCUGCUUUUAAUAUUGCUGGCUAACAAAGAGCACUAGAUUUGUUUCCUCCUACUGACACACAUAUUUUUUGUUUCUGUGGAAAAAUAUUGCCGUAUUUUGCAGGGGGAUUAUAUGGGAGACCAAUGUACAAACCUCCAUAAAGUCACUGCUUGAUGCUGAUUUAGUCAAUCAGUUUUACUAAGGCAUUGCAUACUCAUAGACUGGGACAUCUUGCAUGCCAAGUGUUGUGCUAGUAAACCUUGAUGCUUGCAAGCACAAGUCUUGUUCUUGCAGUUGUGACUUUGAAGUCAGUGGAAAUUUUAUUUCUUCUCUUAAAUUUAUUAGUGCCUGUCUCCAGUGCUCUUUGGGACACAGCAGUACCAGAAGUGUAGUCUCAGAAAUGGGACUUGGUAUUGAGGUGCUGCAGCCUACACAAAAAAAAAAAAAAGACAUUUUUUUGUAGUUUUUUUGUGGGAUGCAUAAUGCCUACACCAGGAUGAGAAACAUCUUUCUACCAACAUACACCUCCCCUGUGUUUUGGCACAUGCAACUUCCUUUGCUACUGCCUGGCCUAGGUCCAUGUUCAGUCUUGCUAUAUUUAUGUAUUUAAAGUUUAUUGCAUCUCUCUCAAAGCUGGCUGAAUUCUGUUGGUUAUGGGGGACAUGCUUCCUUCAAUGUCUUCUAAGUUUAUGGCUGCAGUACCAGCAUUUUAAUAGGUUUGGGAAUGGACGAUGCUCUAUGAGGAGAAUGAUCUGCCAGCAGUUCAGGGGAGGUAUUGAUCAGCCACAUUGCCCACUUAUGCAGACUUUGCUGGGGUAUCAGUAUCAAAACAGGAAACGAUGUGAGAAAUGUUAAUGAAACUUGACAACAGCAGCUCAAAAGGUGUUUGAUCCACCAUUUGAGUGUACAUAACUAUUACAGGAUGAGGAAACAGGAAAUACACUGAGGGGGAGAAGAUAAGAACAGAGAACUGUAAAAAGAAUAAAAAUACUGAACUUGAAAAAUUCCAAGUCACCUUUUCUAAGUCAGCUGGCAUGCACGAGGCAUUUGUCACAGCACAUAGCUCCUCAUUUAGGCAUUGUGCAUAUAAAACCCAAGAAGCCCAAACUGAGAUCCUUCUGCAAUAAUUUUUUACCAUCCCAGUGAUUGUGAGACCAAGUUAAUGCCAAAAAGCAAAACUACAAAUGAAAAAUAAAAAACAACCCAACCCAGCCCCCAAACUUAUUUGCCAGCAAGGGUUUCAAAAUUUUCAAAACCAAAUCGUCUCUGUGGUUCCUGUUUCUUCUGAAUCUGCAUUUGCCUACAGCUUCAAUUAAAUAAAUACCACAGUGCUAUUCCUGUUCAGGAGUAUUGUCAUUUCAUGAUGACUUUUUUCUCUCCUCAGAUCCCCUGCACACCACCCCACAUUUUUCCAUAAGUAACUGAGUCAGGAAGGAAAAAACCAAGAAGAGCACAUACCCUCUGUUCUCCUGCUGUGUUUUAUGGCAGUAGGUUCUCUGCUUUCUUCUUGUCAAGUUCCCUACUAAUCCACUCCAAAGUGUUACCCAAUGGAGUCUAGAAAAAUGUGUUAAUUUGAAAGAAAUGUUCAGAUGGGAGGAGAGGAGGGAAAUGGAUUUGGAUGUAAGAACAGCAAUUGCUUCCCUAAUAUCCCUUUUAUUAACAGCACUCAAAGCACUUUGAACACAUAAAGUCACCAGUCACAGUUUUUAGACAAAGAAAUUUGGCUCCAGAGUUGAUGCUUGGUACUUAGUAAAUUAAUUGUGGAGUUCAGGUCUGCUGAUUCUAAGCCUCCAGUCCAGGUCCAUUGGAUGAUACAAUUUCCUGUUAGAAUUACUCUGAAAGGAGCCAUUUUCUAAGGUGCAGGACACCCACUAGGUCCUUAAAGUGCCCUUUGAACUCCGGAAAAUAGGGGCACUGGUUACAGAUCACAUACUUCCUUCUAGUCCUGCACAGUCUGACGGGGCUUUGUCCUCUCAUGGGAGAGGACAGAGAGGAGAUGCCACUGCGGAAUGAAGGCAAGGAAAGAAGGAAUGACCUGUGGAUCAAGAACAAGAUCUUCCAAGGUGUGGAAGCAGGGCAGAUUGCUAAGUGUUUUCUGAUUCUUGGGGCCUAUUUUUUUUAGUCUUAAAAGUGCUCCUCCCUUUGGGCCAUGAUAUCAUUGCCUGGCAUUCCAUGAAUUUCCUCCAAAGUUCUUUCACGUCCUUCUAUGCUAGAGAUGAAUAUGAAUAUUCUCCUAAGUGGAGUGAAAUACCACCUGUACAUUGACCUGUCAUGCUGGAGACAGUGUGGCUGGUGAUGAGUCUCCUUUUCAUCAUCUCCCAUAGGCAGGAAAGAUAAAACAGUCACCUAUUAUGAAACAGGCUUUUUAUAGAAAAUGUUUUCCCUCUGACACUGUCUUCUCAUGUGUGAUUAACUAUUCUUUGGGUAGUGAUAAUUGAAAUAAAGUAAACAUGUUGCUGAUGUAAUAUCAUGAUGUCUUUCUUUAAGACUGACUGAAAGUGUUGAGAGCACUCCCACUAAUCUCUUUUUUGAAAAGCAUAGAGAGCUAUAUCUAGUUUGACUAAUGAGUCAUCUUUCACCCUUCUGGUCCAUUUCAUGGGUUUCCAGCUUACUUCACAAUGUCUAUACUUUUCUGACCACUUACUCACUAUGAACCUGGGCAAAAAGGGUUUGUGGGUGCCUUGGGAAGACACUGGGAACUGAGAAAUGUCCUUAACACUGUGUGUCCUGAUGGGCUCUUAGGGGGAAGCCUUGUUGGUUGAUUUAGGAAAGAUAUAAAAAGGCUGAGUGCAAGUAGGUUCCAUGCCAGCGGAAUGGAGGAGUCACUGGUGCUGGGAGCAAGAGGAAAAGGUUGGUGUGGAGUAACAAGAGGUAAGGUGUGGAGGGCGAGCGAUGACACAUGCAGGAUGCAGGGUGAGGUAAUUCUUUCCAGUUGUCCUUGGUCCUCCUUUUUUAUCUUGGUGCUUUCCCAGUAGCAGUCUCUUCUUUGAAACUCUUUUCCUCCUU